GCUCCAAGGCUUCUCCUCUAGAGAUGGUGGAAUGGACUGGUUUUUGGUGAAAUUCCGCUCGGUCUCACAUUCAGCCUGUCUAGGCCCCGCCUCUAUAACGGCCUGGCAUAGGUCGCACCCGCCGUGGCUCGGCGACGCACGUGGAGACUCCAGGACUGCAGUGUCGGCGUAGGUGACAUGUGUGUGUGCCUCGGGCCGGGCAGGGCCUUUUAUCCUCGGCAAACCGACUGUCAUUUUUAAGUGCUGAUUGGAGCAUUGGAGAAAAUAUAUUCUUACCCUAUCAUUUCAUAAGUAUGGACAAAAGACCUUACGGAGGAGUUAGCAGCUGCAGCGCUAUCAUUGUUGCGUGUUACUACUGCCAGGCUCUUUGAUAAUCGCUUGGUACUAAUUCUCACACUAAUUUUGUAAGGGGGCAUGGGUUUGAUCCCUGGUCGGGGAACUAAGAUGCUGCAUGCUGCUCGGCGUGGCCAAAAGAAAAGUGAAGAAAUCAAGAUUUGGCCAACAUUCCAUAACUAGGUGGUGGGGAGUUGGAACCCACUAUGACUGAACUCCAAAUUAAUACAGUGUUUGUAGCCACUUAUAUAAUAAUUGUAAAGGCAUUACUUUUUUGCUCUGUUGUAUGGAUAAACAAACUGAGGCUGAGGGAAUAAGGCAGCACACUCUUAAAGGAUACACACUUGGUGGAAAGGAUCAGAAAAGGAAACAGAAACAUAGAGAAACAGAAAAAGUAAAAUCUCCCAAAAUAAACUUGAAAGGAAUUAAAGAUAAAAGCAGAAGUUAAUGAAAUAGAAAAUAAAAUUGAUCAUAAUAGUAGCUGGUGUUCAAAAAGAACAAUAAAUAGACAGCAACUCUGAGGAAGAAGAGGAGAGAAAACAAUAUCAGAAGCAAAGGGAACACAUUACAGAUAUGAGGGACUUUGAAAACAAGUGAAUUAUUUAGUGUAAACUUAUAAUCUUGAAAAUUGACUUGGACAAUUUUUUAGGAAAAUAUAAAUUUAAAAAAAUUGUCUCAAGAGUUAGAAAAUGUUAAUAAACUGAUAAUUAUAAAAGAAUGCCUGGGCUUCCCUGGUGGUGCAGUGGUUAAGAAUCUGCCUGCCAGUGCAGGGGACACGGGUUCCAGCCUUGGUCUGGGAAGAUCCCACAUGCAGCGGAGCAACUAAGCCCAUGUGUCACGACUACUGAACCUGCGCUCUAGAGCCCGUGAACCACAACUACUGAGCCCGCCUGCCACAACUACUGAAGCCUGCAUGCCUUAGAGCCCGUGCUCCACAACAGGAGAAGCCACUGCAAUGAGAAGCUCAUGCACCGCAGCAAAGAGUAGCCCCCGCUCACUGCAACUAGAGAAAGCUCGCACACAGCAACAAAGACACACGCAGCCAAAAAUAAAAAUAAAUUAAAUUAAUUAAAAAUGUAAAAAAAAUAAGAAUGCCUUAUGUAUCCCAGACAAAAGUCACUAGGAACAAGGCAUAGAGGAAAAUGGAGUACUUUCCAGCUUUGAAGGUAGCAUAACCCUAACAAUCUAAACAAGGAUAGUGAAGAAAAACUUACACCUCAGUCUCACUUAUGAAUAUACAUGCAAAAAUCCUAAGGAAACUAGGAAGCCAGCAGUGCAUUUAGAGAAUAAUGUUAUAACCAAGCUGGGUUUAUCCUUCUAGUACAGGAUGGGUCAACAUUAGACAAUAUAGUAAUGAA
Physeter macrocephalus (sperm whale) is the source of this 1691-nucleotide long non-coding RNA. RefSeq lists it as uncharacterized. The record is from RefSeq and is a predicted model, not a curated record. NCBI's taxonomy places the organism in Eukaryota, Metazoa, Chordata, Mammalia, Artiodactyla, Physeteridae. The transcript is spliced from 3 exons.